Manacus vitellinus (golden-collared manakin) is the source of this 437-nucleotide long non-coding RNA. RefSeq lists it as uncharacterized. The transcript has 3 exons. NCBI's taxonomy places the organism in Eukaryota, Metazoa, Chordata, Aves, Passeriformes, Pipridae. The record is from RefSeq and is a predicted model, not a curated record.
GUGGGUCCCUUCCAGCUCAGGAUAUUCUGUGACUCAUCUUGUCUGUUUGGGGAAAAAUAGAAGUGGUAAGUGAAGACAAAAAUGACCUUUUUUUUCCCUCCUAGAGAUCAUAAUUCUAUUAUGUGAACUCUUGGACAAUAAAAUUUAGAUUAAAAUGUCCUUCCCUGAAGCAGAAACCCAGCUUACCCUGUUAAAACCAGCAGAUUCUGAUGCCCCCACUGCUGCCUACCUGCUUGGAUCUUCCAGGUUCCCUGUGCUCCGUGUGUCACUCCCACCAUUCCAUUCCCUGCCUGCCGAGUGCUGGAUGAGGAUCUGGAGCCAACUGGAGCUUAAUGGGAUCUGCACCAUUUUUAAAGCAGGGGCCAGAGGAGGUUGUGCCUUUGGUUUCCAGGGGAUUGCAGCUUCUCCCGUGGAUGUGGAUCCUGUGAUGCUCAUGG